AUUGAACGCUGGCGGCAGGCCUAACACAUGCAAGUCGAGCGUGCGGCGGAAGUGUGAGCAAUGUCUGGGAAACUGCCUGAUGGAGGGGGCUAACAACUGGAAACGGCAGCUAAUACCGCAUAUCAGAGGCUGCGCCCAGGUGGGAUUAGCUAGUAGGUGGGGUAACGGCUUACCAAGGCGACGAUCCCUAGCUGGCCUGAGAGGAUGACCAGCCACACUGGAACGGAGACACGGUCCAGACUCCUACGGGAGGCAGCAGUGGGGAAUAUUUCACAAUGGGCGAAAGCCUGAUGCAGCCAUGCCGCGUGUGUGAAGAAGGCCUUCGGGUUGUAAAGUACUUUCAGUGGGGAGGCGGUAAUCGCAGAAAAAGCACCGGCUAACUCCGUGCCAGCAGCCGCGGUAAUAC
Molecule: ribosomal RNA, 406 nt
Filed under: uncultured bacterium
Lineage: Bacteria
Description: partial 16S ribosomal RNA
Rfam family: Bacterial small subunit ribosomal RNA
Source: RNAcentral